CCUACGGGAGGCAGCAGUCGGGAAUAUUGCGCAAUGGAGGAAACUCUGACGCAGUGACGCCGCGUGCAGGAAGAAGGUUUUCGGAUUGUAAACUGCUUUUGACAGGGAAGAAAAAAGAGAGUACCUGUAGAAUAAGCUCCGGCUAACUACGUGCAAGCAGCCGCGGUAAUACGGAGGGGGCAAGCGUUAUCCGGAUUUAUGGGGUGUAAGGGGUGCGUAGGCGGGUAAGAAAGUCAGUGGUGAAAUCCUUCGGCUUAACUGAGGAACUGCAUCUAAAACUACUUUCCUUGAGUACUGGAGAGGAAGGUGGAAUUCCUGGUGUAGCGGUGAAAUGCGUAGAGAUUAGGAGGAAUACCAGUGGCGAAGGCGACUUGCUGGACAGUAACUGACGUUGAGGCACGAAAGUGUGGGGAGCAAACAGGAUUAGAUACCCUGGUAGUC
This 441-nucleotide ribosomal RNA is filed under the name uncultured bacterium. RNAcentral describes it as "partial 16S ribosomal RNA". It matches the Rfam family "Bacterial small subunit ribosomal RNA", at positions 338 to 795 of the family's 1533-position model. The record is from RNAcentral.